UUCAUUUUGCAAUAGUCUUAACUCCUUCAGCCGCGCUCUCUCCUUCCAUCACCGGUCUCGCCCUUCCAUCACCGGUGGUUUAGAGAGACAAAGUCAUUGCUACUGCACAUAGAGAGAGAGAAAGAGUCGUCGUUGGGGGUUUCCAAAACCUCGUCUACACUAACAGAUCGGACGAGAAUUUUUUUAGGAUUGUCGGCAGACGACUCUUUUCGCGAAAGCCCUAGCUCCUUGCCCCUGACCACUGGACAUCGCGAAAGCUUUGGAUAGCUCCUUGCCUACUCCUUACAGCUUUCUGAAGUCUAAACAAGAUUUAUUCAUACGCACACAUACAAAUAAGGAUGGCAAUGCUACUGAUGUUGCUGCUUCAGAGAUGAUUGCUUUAACAUUUACAUCUGAAUCUACAAUCCCUCAAUCUCUUUCUCUCACACACAACAUCUGCAAUUAAUUAGUCUCUUCAUGUUUGUCAUUCCAUGAGUUAGAGAAAAGGUCAAACUCAAAGAAAGGCAAAGCGAAGAAGAUGAGGACGGUGAAAGGGAUGAGGAUCCUGCUAUUUGCUUGUACAAGGACACACAUUUUAAGGAACAAGGUGGAUGGGCACACGAGAAAGCUAAGAGGAAUUUUCUACUUCCUUGGAUUUUGUACGGUGGAUUUUGCAGCUACUUCCUUGGAUUUUGUACAGUGAGGUGGUUUUUUGACAAGUGCAAACUGAAACUCAAGUGGUAGAAGGUUUAUCAAUUUUUCAACAGAAGUGUUAGGAAAUUGAUGAUUUUCUUGACAAAUGGAUUUAUUUUCUGUUUUGGAACAUUGAUAAAUGUUGAAUUGUUUUGGCAAGUUGAUAAAUAAUGAAUUGUAAAAAUGUUUUAACUCUUUUGAUAUGUUUAAUGAGAUAUGUUUUUUGAAUUGAA
This is a long non-coding RNA of Cornus florida, 905 nucleotides long. RefSeq lists it as uncharacterized. The transcript has 6 exons. NCBI's taxonomy places the organism in Eukaryota, Viridiplantae, Streptophyta, Magnoliopsida, Cornales, Cornaceae. The record is from RefSeq and is a predicted model, not a curated record.